RNAcentral lists this ribosomal RNA (402 nucleotides) under uncultured prokaryote. Its description in RNAcentral is "bacterial SSU rRNA". It matches the Rfam family "Bacterial small subunit ribosomal RNA", at positions 355 to 774 of the family's 1533-position model. The record is from RNAcentral.
UAGGGAAUAUUAGUAAUGGGCGAAAGCCUGAACUAGCAACACCGCGUGUGCGAAGAAGGCCUUCGGGUUGUAAAGCACUUUUUGAGAGGAUGAGGAAGGACGGUACUCUCAGAAUAAGUCUCGGCUAACUACGUGCCAGCAGCCGCGGUAACACGUAGGAGGCACACGUUCUCCGGAUUUCCUGGGCGUAAAGAGCGUGUAGGUGGUUUGGUAAGUAGAGCGUGAAAGCUCCUGGCUCAACUGGGAGAGGUCGUUCGAAACUGCCGGACUAGAGGAUGGUAGAGGGAGGUGGAAUUCCGGGUGUAGCGGUGGAAUGCGCAGAUAUCCGGAGGAACACCAGUGGCGAAAGCGGCCUCCUGGACCACUCCUGACACUCAGACGCGAAAGCUAGGGUAGCAAACG